This 432-nucleotide ribosomal RNA is filed under the name uncultured bacterium. RNAcentral's name for it is "bacterial SSU rRNA". It matches the Rfam family "Bacterial small subunit ribosomal RNA", at positions 338 to 787 of the family's 1533-position model. The record is from RNAcentral.
CCUACGGGGGGCAGCAGUGGGGAAUAUUGGACAAUGGGCGCAAGCCUGAUCCAGCCAUGCCGCGUGUGUGAUGAAGGCCUUAGGGUUGUAAAGCACUUUUGUCCGGGAAGAUAAUGACUGUACCGGAAGAAUAAGCCCCGGCUAACUUCGUGCCAGCAGCCGCGGUAAUACGAAGGGGGCUAGCGUUGCUCGGAAUCACUGGGCGUAAAGGGCGCGUAGGCGGACUUUUAAGUCGGGGGUGAAAGCCCAGGGCUCAACCCUGGAAUUGCCUUCGAUACUGAGAGUCUUGAGUUCGGAAGAGGUUGGUGGAACUGCGAGUGUAGAGGUGAAAUUCGUAGAUAUUCGCAAGAACACCAGUGGCGAAGGCGGCCAACUGGUCCGAUACUGACGCUGAGGCGCGAAAGCGUGGGGAGCAAACAGGAUUAGAUACCC